GGCCCGGUAGUGGAUGGUUCGCGCCUGCUUUCAAUACUUGAUCGUUCCCAAUAUGCAUGCAGGCGUUGUUCGUCCGAAUCGAGCCCGGGCCA
Mycena epipterygia is the source of this 92-nucleotide non-coding RNA. The record is from the annotation of a GenBank genome assembly. NCBI's taxonomy places the organism in Eukaryota, Fungi, Basidiomycota, Agaricomycetes, Agaricales, Mycenaceae.